RNAcentral lists this ribosomal RNA (453 nucleotides) under alpha proteobacterium G4A1. RNAcentral describes it as "bacterial SSU rRNA". It matches the Rfam family "Bacterial small subunit ribosomal RNA", at positions 942 to 1393 of the family's 1533-position model. The record is from RNAcentral. Lineage: Bacteria; Pseudomonadati; Pseudomonadota; Alphaproteobacteria.
UGGUUUAAUUCGAAGCAACGCGCAGAACCUUACCAACGUUUGACAUCCCUAUCGCGAUUUCCAGAGAUGGAUUUCUUCAGUUCGGCUGGAUAGGUGACAGGUGCUGCAUGGCUGUCGUCAGCUCGUGUCGUGAGAUGUUGGGUUAAGUCCCGCAACGAGCGCAACCCUCGCCUUUAGUUGCCAGCAUUUAGUUGGGUACUCUAAAGGAACCGCCGGUGAUAAGCCGGAGGAAGGUGGGGAUGACGUCAAGUCCUCAUGGCCCUUACGCGUUGGGCUACACACGUGCUACAAUGGCGACUACAGUGGGCAGCGACCUCGCGAGGGGAAGCUAAUCUCCAAAAGUCGUCUCAGUUCGGAUCGUUCUCUGCAACUCGAGAGCGUGAAGGCGGAAUCGCUAGUAAUCGCGGAUCAGCAUGCCGCGGUGAAUACGUUCCCAGGCCUUGUACACACCGC